UGAGGAAUAUUGGUCAAUGGGCGCAAGCCUGAACCAGCCAUCCCGCGUGAAGGAUGAAGGUCCUAUGGAUUGUAAACUUCUUUUAUACGCCAAGAAAAAGCAGGACGUGUUCUGCUCUGACGGUAGUGUAUGAAUAAGCAUCGGCUAACUCCGUGCCAGCAGCCGCGGUAAUACGGAGGAUGCAAGCGUUAUCCGGAUUCAUUGGGUUUAAAGGGUGCGUAGGCGGCUUUUUAAGUCAGUGGUGAAAUCCUGUCGCUUAACGAUAGAAUUGCCAUUGAUACUGAGAAGCUUGAGUACAAUUGAGGUAAGCGGAAUGUGUAGUGUAGCGGUGAAAUGCUUAGAUAUUACACAGAACACCAAUUGCGAAGGCAGCUUACUAAACUGUAACUGACGCUGAUGCACGAAAGCGUGGGGAGCGAACAGG
RNAcentral lists this ribosomal RNA (424 nucleotides) under uncultured bacterium. Its description in RNAcentral is "bacterial SSU rRNA". It matches the Rfam family "Bacterial small subunit ribosomal RNA", at positions 355 to 776 of the family's 1533-position model. The record is from RNAcentral.